GUAGGUGGCAAGCGUUGUCCGGAAUUAUUGGGGCGUAAAGCGCGCGCAGGCGGUCCUUUAAGUCUGAUGUGAAAGCCCACGGGCUCAACCGUGGGAGGGUCAUUGGAAACUGGGGGACUUGAGUGCAGAAGAGGAGAGUAGAAUUCCACGUGUAGCGGUGAAAUGCGUAGAGAUGUGGAGGAACACCAGUGGCGAAGGCGACUCUCUGGUCUGUAACUGACGCUGAGGCGCGAAAGCGUGGGGAGCGAACAGGAUUAGAUACCCUGGUAGUCCACGCCGUAAACGAUGAGUGCUAAGUGUUAGAGGGUUUCCGCCCUUUAGUGCUGCAGCUAACGCAUUAAGCACUCCGCCUGGGGAGUACGGUCGCAAGACUG
Molecule: ribosomal RNA, 374 nt
Filed under: uncultured organism
Description: partial 16S ribosomal RNA
Rfam family: Bacterial small subunit ribosomal RNA
Source: RNAcentral